GUAACAGGUAUAAUCUUUUACUAAAUGAAAUUAGAAGGACGAGUCACUGGGACCCACCAUCAAAAGGGCAAAAGGACAUGUGCAGUCUAAUAUUGAUGUACGUAAGAUUAAUGAUGAAGUACAAGAAUCACAGACUGAUAAACUGCUUGAUAUUAGGGAUCUUGCUACAGUCCUUCAAGAAUUAACAUCAAAUCAUCAGUUUGAUUACAGUGAUUGGUAUCAGUUGGGUCUGUACUUAGGAUUAUAUGAGCGUACACUAAAAGCAAUUGAAGAAGAAAGUAAAGGAAAGUUAAAGAAGUGUCUAAUAGAGUGUCUAUCUUCCUGGCUAAAGGGAGAGGAUGGAGUAAGAGAGACAAGAGGAGGUGGAUCAAACUGGAUAUCAUUAGUAGCAGCACUAGAUGCAAUGGGAGAGAGGGAGGUUGCUAAUGACAUUAGAAUAAAGUACUUGCAAUGAACUAACUUGUAAUUUCACUCUGUUUGGAUGUUAAAUUUAUUCAACGAGUGCAAAUUAUUAGUAUAA
Molecule: long non-coding RNA, 520 nt
Organism: Amphimedon queenslandica
Lineage: Eukaryota; Metazoa; Porifera; Demospongiae; Haplosclerida; Niphatidae
Exons: 3
Source: RefSeq, a predicted model, not a curated record